RNAcentral lists this ribosomal RNA (1118 nucleotides) under Metabacillus idriensis. Its description in RNAcentral is "bacterial SSU rRNA". It matches the Rfam family "Bacterial small subunit ribosomal RNA", at positions 56 to 1157 of the family's 1533-position model. The record is from RNAcentral. Lineage: Bacteria; Bacillati; Bacillota; Bacilli; Caryophanales; Bacillaceae.
UGCAAGUCGAGCGGACUUGAUGAAGCUUGCUUCAUCAAGUUAGCGGCGGACGGGUGAGUAACACGUGGGCAACCUGCCUGUAAGACUGGGAUAACUCCGGGAAACCGGAGCUAAUACCGGAUAGUAUCUUGAACCGCAUGGUUCAAGUUGGAAAGACGGUUUCGGCUGUCACUUACAGAUGGGCCCGCGGCGCAUUAGCUAGUUGGUGAGGUAAUGGCUCACCAAGGCAACGAUGCGUAGCCGACCUGAGAGGGUGAUCGGCCACACUGGGACUGAGACACGGCCCAGACUCCUACGGGAGGCAGCAGUAGGGAAUCUUCCGCAAUGGACGAAAGUCUGACGGAGCAACGCCGCGUGAGUGAUGAAGGUUUUCGGAUCGUAAAACUCUGUUGUUAGGGAAGAACAAGUGCGAGAGUAACUGCUCGCACCUUGACGGUACCUAACCAGAAAGCCACGGCUAACUACGUGCCAGCAGCCGCGGUAAUACGUAGGUGGCAAGCGUUGUCCGGAAUUAUUGGGCGUAAAGCGCGCGCAGGCGGUUUCUUAAGUCUGAUGUGAAAGCCCCCGGCUCAACCGGGGAGGGUCAUUGGAAACUGGGAAACUUGAGUGCAGAAGAGGAGAGUGGAAUUCCACGUGUAGCGGUGAAAUGCGUAGAGAUGUGGAGGAACACCAGUGGCGAAGGCGACUCUCUGGUCUGUAACUGACGCUGAGGCGCGAAAGCGUGGGGAGCGAACAGGAUUAGAUACCCUGGUAGUCCACGCCGUAAACGAUGAGUGCUAAGUGUUAGAGGGUUUCCGCCCUUUAGUGCUGCAGCUAACGCAUUAAGCACUCCGCCUGGGGAGUACGGUCGCAAGACUGAAACUCAAAGGAAUUGACGGGGGCCCGCACAAGCGGUGGAGCAUGUGGUUUAAUUCGAAGCAACGCGAAGAACCUUACCAGGUCUUGACAUCCUUUGCCACUUCUAGAGAUAGAAGGUUCCCCUUCGGGGGACAAAGUGACAGGUGGUGCAUGGUUGUCGUCAGCUCGUGUCGUGAGAUGUUGGGUUAAGUCCCGCAACGAGCGCAACCCUUGAUCUUAGUUGCCAGCAUUCAGUUGGGCCUCUAAGGUGACUGCCGGUG